Molecule: long non-coding RNA, 282 nt
Filed under: Gossypium barbadense (sea-island cotton)
Lineage: Eukaryota; Viridiplantae; Streptophyta; Magnoliopsida; Malvales; Malvaceae
Description: long non-coding RNA (GBAR_LNC009139)
Source: RNAcentral
GGUAUGUCUAAGAUUGGAUCCAAUCGAGAGCCUGGUACUUAAGCAGCCUUCAUGGCUCACCUCCUCUGUUUCGGAUACCUACUUGGUGCACAGCUUCCAUUCACUUUGUUAACUUUGCAAAAGACGAUCUUUUAAAACACUAAUACGAGUCGUGGGUUUUUAAAACUUCAAUGUGACACGUCGGAUUCAAUCAUAACGUCUGGGCCGAGUUUGGAGUGUUACAUGGUAUGAUAAUUUACAUGAUAUACACGGUAUAAUUGGUGCUAAAUUUAGAAUGAAAUG